RNAcentral lists this ribosomal RNA (1312 nucleotides) under Vibrio parahaemolyticus. Its description in RNAcentral is "bacterial SSU rRNA". It matches the Rfam family "Bacterial small subunit ribosomal RNA", at positions 208 to 1512 of the family's 1533-position model. The record is from RNAcentral. Lineage: Bacteria; Pseudomonadati; Pseudomonadota; Gammaproteobacteria; Vibrionales; Vibrionaceae.
GGGCCUCUCGCGUCAGGAUAUGCCUAGGUGGGAUUAGCUAGUUGGUGAGGUAAGGGCUCACCAAGGCGACGAUCCCUAGCUGGUCUGAGAGGAUGAUCAGCCACACUGGAACUGAGACACGGUCCAGACUCCUACGGGAGGCAGCAGUGGGGAAUAUUGCACAAUGGGCGCAAGCCUGAUGCAGCCAUGCCGCGUGUGUGAAGAAGGCCUUCGGGUUGUAAAGCACUUUCAGUCGUGAGGAAGGUAGUGUAGUUAAUAGCUGCAUUAUUUGACGUUAGCGACAGAAGAAGCACCGGCUAACUCCGUGCCAGCAGCCGCGGUAAUACGGAGGGUGCGAGCGUUAAUCGGAAUUACUGGGCGUAAAGCGCAUGCAGGUGGUUUGUUAAGUCAGAUGUGAAAGCCCGGGGCUCAACCUCGGAAUUGCAUUUGAAACUGGCAGACUAGAGUACUGUAGAGGGGGGUAGAAUUUCAGGUGUAGCGGUGAAAUGCGUAGAGAUCUGAAGGAAUACCGGUGGCGAAGGCGGCCCCCUGGACAGAUACUGACACUCAGAUGCGAAAGCGUGGGGAGCAAACAGGAUUAGAUACCCUGGUAGUCCACGCCGUAAACGAUGUCUACUUGGAGGUUGUGGCCUUGAGCCGUGGCUUUCGGAGCUAACGCGUUAAGUAGACCGCCUGGGGAGUACGGUCGCAAGAUUAAAACUCAAAUGAAUUGACGGGGGCCCGCACAAGCGGUGGAGCAUGUGGUUUAAUUCGAUGCAACGCGAAGAACCUUACCUACUCUUGACAUCCAGAGAACUUUCCAGAGAUGGAUUGGUGCCUUCGGGAACUCUGAGACAGGUGCUGCAUGGCUGUCGUCAGCUCGUGUUGUGAAAUGUUGGGUUAAGUCCCGCAACGAGCGCAACCCUUAUCCUUGUUUGCCAGCGAGUAAUGUCGGGAACUCCAGGGAGACUGCCGGUGAUAAACCGGAGGAAGGUGGGGACGACGUCAAGUCAUCAUGGCCCUUACGAGUAGGGCUACACACGUGCUACAAUGGCGCAUACAGAGGGCAGCCAACUUGCGAAAGUGAGCGAAUCCCAAAAAGUGCGUCGUAGUCCGGAUUGGAGUCUGCAACUCGACUCCAUGAAGUCGGAAUCGCUAGUAAUCGUGGAUCAGAAUGCCACGGUGAAUACGUUCCCGGGCCUUGUACACACCGCCCGUCACACCAUGGGAGUGGGCUGCAAAAGAAGUAGGUAGUUUAACCUUCGGGGGGACGCUUACCACUUUGUGGUUCAUGACUGGGGUGAAGUCGUAACAAGGUAGCGCUAGGGGAACC